RNAcentral lists this ribosomal RNA (649 nucleotides) under uncultured Lachnospiraceae bacterium. Its description in RNAcentral is "bacterial SSU rRNA". It matches the Rfam family "Bacterial small subunit ribosomal RNA", at positions 77 to 736 of the family's 1533-position model. The record is from RNAcentral. Lineage: Bacteria; Bacillati; Bacillota; Clostridia; Lachnospirales; Lachnospiraceae.
UCUUCGGAUGAUUUUCAGUUGACUGAGCGGCGGACGGGUGAGUAACGCGUGGGUGACCUGCCCCAUACCGGGGGAUAACAGCUGGAAACGGCUGCUAAUACCGCAUAAGCGCACAGAGCUGCAUGGCUCGGUGUGAAAAACUCCGGUGGUAUGGGAUGGACCCGCGUCUGAUUAGGCAGUUGGCGGGGUAACGGCCCACCAAACCGACGAUCAGUAGCCGGCCUGAGAGGGCGACCGGCCACAUUGGGACUGAGACACGGCCCAAACUCCUACGGGAGGCAGCAGUGGGGAAUAUUGCACAAUGGGGGAAACCCUGAUGCAGCGACGCCGCGUGAGCGAAGAAGUAUUUCGGUAUGUAAAGCUCUAUCAGCAGGGAAGAUAAUGACGGUACCUGACUAAGAAGCCCCGGCUAACUACGUGCCAGCAGCCGCGGUAAUACGUAGGGGGCAAGCGUUAUCCGGAUUUACUGGGUGUAAAGGGAGCGUAGACGGCAAGGCAAGUCUGAUGUGAAAACCCAGGGCUUAACCCUGGGACUGCAUUGGAAACUGUCUGGCUCGAGUGCCGGAGAGGUAAGCGGAAUUCCUAGUGUAGCGGUGAAAUGCGUAGAUAUUAGGAAGAACACCAGUGGCGAAGGCGGCUUACUGGACGG